GGGAAUGGGUUUAGUGUUAGAACUCCUGCCUAGCAAACAUGAGUGCAUAAGUUCAAUUCUUAAUAUUACCA
This 71-nucleotide transfer RNA is filed under the name Dipodomys ordii (Ord's kangaroo rat). It matches the Rfam family "tRNA". Rfam says of the family: Transfer RNA (tRNA) molecules are approximately 80 nucleotides in length. Their secondary structure includes four short double-helical elements and three loops (D, anti-codon, and T loops). Further hydrogen bonds mediate the characteristic L-shaped molecular structure. tRNAs have two regions of fundamental functional importance: the anti-codon, which is responsible for specific mRNA codon recognition, and the 3' end, to which the tRNAs corresponding amino acid is attached (by aminoacyl-tRNA synthetases). tRNAs cope with the degeneracy of the genetic code in two manners: having more than one tRNA (with a specific anti-codon) for a particular amino acid; and 'wobble' base-pairing, i.e. permitting non-standard base-pairing at the 3rd anti-codon position. The record is from Rfam by way of RNAcentral. Lineage: Eukaryota; Metazoa; Chordata; Mammalia; Rodentia; Heteromyidae.